GACUAAACCAGACAAGACAGGGACGGACAACGCGGAGAGAGAGCGGCUGGUAGAGUGGUGGAGGGGGUCGUGAGAGAACACACCUCAGUCCGAAUUGAUGACAGCACAAGCCAGUAAAAUACGAAUAUCCUGGAGGAGUUCUCAUGUUUUUACCAACGACACCAAGCAGGCGGCAACGGCUUUGUUGACAUCAACUGUCGACAGUGAAUAAUACAGGCAACGGUGUCUGUGAUGAAGACAUGUUGAACUGAAAAUGUCAAUAUAAGAGUUAUCCAUCUUGA
Pomacea canaliculata is the source of this 281-nucleotide long non-coding RNA. RefSeq lists it as uncharacterized. The record is from RefSeq and is a predicted model, not a curated record. Lineage: Eukaryota; Metazoa; Mollusca; Gastropoda; Architaenioglossa; Ampullariidae. The transcript has 2 exons.